CUACGGGGUGCUGCAGUGGGGAAUAUUGCACAAUGGGCGCAAGCCUGAUGCAGCCAUGCCGCGUGUAUGAAGAAGGCCUUCGGGUUGUAAAGUGCUUUCAGCGGGGAGGAAGGGAGUAAAGUUAAUACCUUUGCUCAUUGACGUUACCCGCAGAAGAAGCACCGGCUAACUCCGUGCCAGCAGCCGCGGUAAUACGGAGGGUGCAAGCGUUAAUCGGAAUUACUGGGCGUAAAGCGCACGCAGGCGGUUUGUCAAGUCAGAUGUGAAAUCCCCGGGCUCAACCUGGGAACUGCAUCUGAUACUGGCAAGCUUGAGUCUCGUAGAGGGGGGUAGAAUUCCAGGUGUAGCGGUGAAAUGCGUAGAGAUCUGGAGGAAUACCGGUGGCGAAGGCGGCCCCCUGGACGAAGACUGACGCUCAGGUGCGAAAGCGUGGGGAGCAAACAGGAUUAGAUACCCCUGUAGUC
This 464-nucleotide ribosomal RNA is filed under the name uncultured bacterium. RNAcentral describes it as "partial 16S ribosomal RNA". It matches the Rfam family "Bacterial small subunit ribosomal RNA", at positions 339 to 795 of the family's 1533-position model. The record is from RNAcentral.